RNAcentral lists this ribosomal RNA (2926 nucleotides) under Escherichia coli. RNAcentral's name for it is "bacterial LSU rRNA". It matches the Rfam family "Bacterial large subunit ribosomal RNA". Lineage: Bacteria; Pseudomonadati; Pseudomonadota; Gammaproteobacteria; Enterobacterales; Enterobacteriaceae. The record is from RNAcentral.
GGGUUGUGAGGUUAAGCGACUAAGCGUACACGGUGGAUGCCCUGGCAGUCAGAGGCGAUGAAGGACGUGCUAAUCUGCGAUAAGCGUCGGUAAGGUGAUAUGAACCGUUAUAACCGGCGAUUUCCGAAUGGGGAAACCCAGUGUGUUUCGACACACUAUCAUUAACUGAAUCCAUAGGUUAAUGAGGCGAACCGGGGGAACUGAAACAUCUAAGUACCCCGAGGAAAAGAAAUCAACCGAGAUUCCCCCAGUAGCGGCGAGCGAACGGGGAGCAGCCCAGAGCCUGAAUCAGUGUGUGUGUUAGUGGAAGCGUCUGGAAAGGCGCGCGAUACAGGGUGACAGCCCCGUACACAAAAAUGCACAUAUUGUGAGCUCGAUGAGUAGGGCGGGACACGUGGUAUCCUGUCUGAAUAUGGGGGGACCAUCCUCCAAGGCUAAAUACUCCUGACUGACCGAUAGUGAACCAGUACCGUGAGGGAAAGGCGAAAAGAACCCGGCGAGGGGAGUGAAAAAGAACCUGAAACCGUGUACGUACAAGCAGUGGGAGCACGCUUAGGCGUGUGACUGCGUACCUUUUGUAUAAUGGGUCAGCGACUUAUAUUCUGUAGCAAGGUUAACCGAAUAGGGGAGCCGAAGGGAAACCGAGUCUUAACUGGGCGUUAAGUUGCAGGGUAUAGACCCGAAACCCGGUGAUCUAGCCAUGGGCAGGUUGAAGGUUGGGUAACACUAACUGGAGGACCGAACCGACUAAUGUUGAAAAAUUAGCGGAUGACUUGUGGCUGGGGGUGAAAGGCCAAUCAAACCGGGAGAUAGCUGGUUCUCCCCGAAAGCUAUUUAGGUAGCGCCUCGUGAAUUCAUCUCCGGGGUAGAGCACUGUUUCGGCAAGGGGGUCAUCCCGACUUACCAACCCGAUGCAAACUGCGAAUACCGGAGAAUGUUAUCACGGGAGACACACGGCGGGUGCUAACGUCCGUCGUGAAGAGGGAAACAACCCAGACCGCCAGCUAAGGUCCCAAAGUCAUGGUUAAGUGGGAAACGAUGUGGGAAGGCCCAGACAGCCAGGAUGUUGGCUUAGAAGCAGCCAUCAUUUAAAGAAAGCGUAAUAGCUCACUGGUCGAGUCGGCCUGCGCGGAAGAUGUAACGGGGCUAAACCAUGCACCGAAGCUGCGGCAGCGACGCUUAUGCGUUGUUGGGUAGGGGAGCGUUCUGUAAGCCUGCGAAGGUGUGCUGUGAGGCAUGCUGGAGGUAUCAGAAGUGCGAAUGCUGACAUAAGUAACGAUAAAGCGGGUGAAAAGCCCGCUCGCCGGAAGACCAAGGGUUCCUGUCCAACGUUAAUCGGGGCAGGGUGAGUCGACCCCUAAGGCGAGGCCGAAAGGCGUAGUCGAUGGGAAACAGGUUAAUAUUCCUGUACUUGGUGUUACUGCGAAGGGGGGACGGAGAAGGCUAUGUUGGCCGGGCGACGGUUGUCCCGGUUUAAGCGUGUAGGCUGGUUUUCCAGGCAAAUCCGGAAAAUCAAGGCUGAGGCGUGAUGACGAGGCACUACGGUGCUGAAGCAACAAAUGCCCUGCUUCCAGGAAAAGCCUCUAAGCAUCAGGUAACAUCAAAUCGUACCCCAAACCGACACAGGUGGUCAGGUAGAGAAUACCAAGGCGCUUGAGAGAACUCGGGUGAAGGAACUAGGCAAAAUGGUGCCGUAACUUCGGGAGAAGGCACGCUGAUAUGUAGGUGAAGUCCCUCGCGGAUGGAGCUGAAAUCAGUCGAAGAUACCAGCUGGCUGCAACUGUUUAUUAAAAACACAGCACUGUGCAAACACGAAAGUGGACGUAUACGGUGUGACGCCUGCCCGGUGCCGGAAGGUUAAUUGAUGGGGUCAGCGCAAGCGAAGCUCUUGAUCGAAGCCCCGGUAAACGGCGGCCGUAACUAUAACGGUCCUAAGGUAGCGAAAUUCCUUGUCGGGUAAGUUCCGACCUGCACGAAUGGCGUAAUGAUGGCCAGGCUGUCUCCACCCGAGACUCAGUGAAAUUGAACUCGCUGUGAAGAUGCAGUGUACCCGCGGCAAGACGGAAAGACCCGUGAACCUUUACUAUAGCUUGACACUGAACAUUGAGCCUUGAUGUGUAGGAUAGGUGGGAGGCUUGGAAGUGUGGACGCCAGUCUGCAUGGAGCCGACCUUGAAAUACCACCCUUUAAUGUUUGAUGUUCUAACGUUGACCCGUGAUCCGGGUUGCGGACAGUGUCUGGUGGGUAGUUUGACUGGGGCGGUCUCCUCCUAAAGAGUAACGGAGGAGCACGAAGGUUGGCUAAUCCUGGUCGGACAUCAGGAGGUUAGUGCAAUGGCAUAAGCCAGCUUGACUGCGAGCGUGACGGCGCGAGCAGGUGCGAAAGCAGGUCAUAGUGAUCCGGUGGUUCUGAAUGGAAGGGCCAUCGCUCAACGGAUAAAAGGUACUCCGGGGAUAACAGGCUGAUACCGCCCAAGAGUUCAUAUCGACGGCGGUGUUUGGCACCUCGAUGUCGGCUCAUCACAUCCUGGGGCUGAAGUAGGUCCCAAGGGUAUGGCUGUUCGCCAUUUAAAGUGGUACGCGAGCUGGGUUUAGAACGUCGUGAGACAGUUCGGUCCCUAUCUGCCGUGGGCGCUGGAGAACUGAGGGGGCUGCUCCUAGUACGAGAGGACCGGAGUGGACGCAUCACUGGUGUUCGGGUUGUCAUGCCAAUGGCACUGCCCGGUAGCUAAAUGCGGAAGAGAUAAGUGCUGAAAGCAUCUAAGCACGAAACUUGCCCCGAGAUGAGUUCUCCCUGACUCCUUGAGAGUCCUGAAGGAACGUUGAAGACGACGACGUUGAUAGGCCGGGUGUGUAAGCGCAGCGAUGCGUUGAGCUAACCGGUACUAAUGAACCGUGAGGCUUAACCUUACAACGCCGAAGCUGUU